GUUUCACCCAAUUGUCACAAAGCAAGAAACACAAGCCCAGUGUGCGGCAGACAAGGCUCUGGACAAAGGGCUGUUUUCAUCGCCCCUCUCCCCAGCUCAGAGACCCCCACAUGACAUCUGCAAAGGAGUAGGUGUAGUGGACGGGCCGGCCUCCCUCACCUCCCGACACUGAGGCGGGCUCCUUCACCCUGCCCUGCAGGCGGCUCUGGGCACUGAAACCUGCAACCACACCCGUGCCCCUGCCAGCUGUGGCAGCCCUGCAGGCCCUGCCUCCCAACACUGCUGCACUGAGGAAUCGAGUCUCAGAGAACACUCUCAAAUCAUAGAUAAUUCCAAGAACUAAGGAUUUCUGAAUGUGGACUGAGCUGCGGGAUGGAACUCUGGACCUUGUGCUUGCAAAGCAGGCGGCAGAACCACUGAGCUAAAUGCCUGGCCCUCUAACUGCAUUUUGAUAAACACCGAUUGUCAUGCCGAAGUGACCUUGUCACAGAAGGGCCUUUCUCUGAGCACAUCCCACCUGGAGUCGUCUGGCCUUGUGUUUUCACUGUGUUCAGCUUUGCUUAUGCUGGACUGAGGCCAGAGGCCGGUCCUGGAGUCUCACCCCCAAGGUUACAUGGGUGUGUUGCAGCAAAGCCUGGGCACCUCCUGCCUGGGCCCCUCUUCCUUCCUUAGGGAGCCUCCCCAAGGGCAGUGGUGCAGAAAAUUCUCCCCUUCCCUGAUAACAGCCCCAGAAGCAAUGGCACUGAGGUGCCCACUCGUGGGGUGUGAGCUUUUCCCAGGCCUCUCUUACACCGAGGAGGGAGCACGGGGAGGCUUAGGCAAGAGAGCCUUUGGGGUUUCACCAUCUGCAGGAGUGAACUCAGCCCCUCCAGGACCGAAUCUGUGAUGAAGCAGGC
Molecule: long non-coding RNA, 896 nt
Organism: Heterocephalus glaber (naked mole-rat)
Lineage: Eukaryota; Metazoa; Chordata; Mammalia; Rodentia; Bathyergidae
Source: Ensembl